Long non-coding RNA from Mytilus californianus (California mussel), 471 nucleotides. RefSeq lists it as uncharacterized. The transcript is spliced from 6 exons. Lineage: Eukaryota; Metazoa; Mollusca; Bivalvia; Mytilida; Mytilidae. The record is from RefSeq and is a predicted model, not a curated record.
CAUAUGUUCUGUAAUGUUUAAUAGAGAUACUGUCUGAAUACAUCAAUAGACAUACUUAUCUUACCAUAUGUUCCAUAAUGUUUAAUGGAGGUCUGAAUACAUCACUAGACAUGCUCAUCUUACCAUAUGUUCUGUAAUGUUUAAUAGAGGUCUGAAUACAUCACUAGACAUGCUCAUCUUACCAUAUGUUCUGUAAUGUUUAAUAGAGGUCUGAAUACAUCACUAGACAUGCUCAUCUUACCAUAUGUUCUGUAAUGUUUAAUAGAGGUCUGAAUACAUCACUAGACAUGCUCAUCUUACCAUAUGUUCUGUAAUGUUUAAUAGAGGUCUGAAUACAUCACUAGACAUGCUCAUCUUACCAUAUGUUCUGUAAUGUUUAAUAGAGGUCUGAAUACAUCACUAGACAUGCUCAUCUUACCAUAUGUUCUGUAAUGUUUAAUAGAGGUCUGAAUACAUCACUAGACAUGCUCA